CAGCUAGUUGGCGGGGUAACGGCCCACCAAGGCAAUGAUCAGUAGCCGGCCUGAGAGGGCGCACGGCCACACUGGAACUGAAACACGGUCCAGACUCCUACGGGAGGCAGCAGUGGGGAAUUUUGCGCAAUGGGGGAAACCCUGACGCAGCAACGCCGCGUGGAGGAUGAAGCCCCUUGGGGUGUAAACUCCUUUCGACCCGGACGAUAAUGACGGUACGGGUGGAAGAAGCACCGGCUAACUCUGUGCCAGCAGCCGCGGUAAUACAGAGGGUGCAAGCGUUGUUCGGAAUUAUUGGGCGUACAGGGUGCGUAGGCGGUGCGGUAAGUCUUCUGUGAAAUCUCCGGGCUCAACCCGGAGCCUGCAGAGGAAACUGCCGUGCUGGAGUA
RNAcentral lists this ribosomal RNA (389 nucleotides) under uncultured Acidobacteriota bacterium. Its description in RNAcentral is "SSU rRNA". It matches the Rfam family "Bacterial small subunit ribosomal RNA", at positions 242 to 648 of the family's 1533-position model. Lineage: Bacteria; Pseudomonadati; Acidobacteriota. The record is from RNAcentral.